Long non-coding RNA from Triticum dicoccoides, 166 nucleotides. RefSeq lists it as uncharacterized. The record is from RefSeq and is a predicted model, not a curated record. Lineage: Eukaryota; Viridiplantae; Streptophyta; Magnoliopsida; Poales; Poaceae. The transcript has 3 exons.
GUUUUUCUGCAUCAGGACAGUUGUUGUAAGAAAUGUGUUUCCAUGCACCUGCCUCGACCUUUAGGACUGAUGUUAUGCUCUUCCGUUUUGUACUCAGUCAAGUAAUGUUUUUAUGGUUCAUGAAGAUGACGAGCGUGGCAAUCUCGGCGGGCUCGCUAAAGUCAGG